Triticum aestivum (bread wheat) is the source of this 3684-nucleotide RNA transcript. It is a transcript of the gene named cyclin-B1-2, with no coding region annotated. Lineage: Eukaryota; Viridiplantae; Streptophyta; Magnoliopsida; Poales; Poaceae. The transcript has 2 exons. The record is from RefSeq and is a predicted model, not a curated record.
AGAGCUACCGGUAUUAGAUAUUUUUUUAGCGGUAUGAUCUGGGAGCUGCAGUUGUUGGGGUCGUCAAUUCGACCUUACUUUUGUUUUGUUGAGCAAAUCAGGGCCCCUACCUUCAGAUUAUUACAUCUAGAAGUGCACACGCUUAACGCUUGUGAAUGAGAGUUUUACAAACCAGAGCACAACGAGUGCAUCCGGAGUGGUUGAUGCAUUAGGGAGAGAGGGGGGAGUUCAGUUUUGCCAAAUUAAUAGAGAGCCUUCAUCUUUUUCUGUCCUGGGCAUCCAUAUUUUGACCAAAUUCACACAUUGUUUCAUGACUGGAGGUAUAUUAAUGUCAUCAGAGACCUUUCGAUUCCUUGCAAGCCAAAUGGACCAGAGAGUAUAUGGUUCACUGUUUUUGUCUCACAGAGAAGCUUGUCACCCGUGUUAAAAAUGCCAGCCCAUUCUUUCACAUCAUCUAGCCUUAUGCCCAUAAGGCCCCAUAUAUGUUUCAUCCUGAUGCACUUCAGAGUUAAAUGUGCAGCCGUUUCUUGGUCGUUGCAUCCAAAGGGGCAGGUAUCACUGUCGUCGAGUCCCUGCUUUUUAAGGAGCUCUCUGACUUUGAUCUGGUUUCUGAUGAGCGUCCAGGCAAUUUGUUUCCCUUUUUUUUUGGUGACAAGCAGUCCCAAAUACAUCGAUAAAUGAGCCCAGUACAUCCUCCAAAAUUUGUAAGCUGAUGGGAUUUCCUGACUGAAAAUUCCACUAAGUGCUUCAUUCUAAGAGCUCGUUUAUCCAAGGAUCAAACCUUGAGAUAGACAAAACUGAGGAAUUGAGCUAGAACCUUGAGUUCUCCGGGCCUGGCUUUUAUCUUGUGCAAUAUCUUUAGUCACUUCCCAAAUCUCUAAGUAAAAUGUGUAGGUAGGCUGGAUAAAUCAAAUGAAUUUGGAUACAGCAGGUUGAGAUCGAUAAAAGUGAAGUGGACAUGACUGCAAGGUUUAAAUUCAAACAUAUUUGAAUUUAAUUCAAAUGGGUAACUAGGACUAGGUUCUAGAAAGUGCCCAAAAAUGUUGAGAUUUUUUUGUGGAGCUUUGAUAAAUGCAGAAAGAUUUGUGGGCAAGGAUUUGGGGAAUUUCAGAUGGCUUUAAUUUAAACAAGUCAUCUUUAGUGCUGCUGGACUGUAACAGUCAGACAUACCAUCGACCCUAAGGCUCUUUUUUUAACAUGCUGACGCUAAUGCUCUUUUCCUGAUUAAUGAUUGACAUGCAUUUCUUUUAGACUUUAUUAUCAUGCUGGAUUCUACGUUGUUGUGUAUUUUGUUUGACGGGACGACUAGUGUUCUUCGUAGUGAACUCACUAUGGGACAUUAUGCUUAUGUAUAACAAAAACAAAAUUGGAAAAAAAUAUAUUAAAUUUGUUUCUCCCGUUACAACGCACGGGCAUAUGUGCUAUAUAUAGAAAGUCUAUUAGUAACCCAGGGUGAAGAAUAAGUAAUUCUUCACCCUGGUCGAUCGACCAAGCCAGCCAUACUUUCGGUCCAACCACGCCACGGUCGUGAGAUGGGAAAAAAAACCACCGUCCCGUGACUCUAAAAUUACAGCAUGGUCGAGCUAAUCUUACGUUUUGGAGGUUGACUCAAACUAGCCCACCUCCACGUCCUUUUCUAGUCCGCCGCGAACAGUUGUUUUUAGUAUUUUCUAAAAAUAAGAGGCCGCGAACGGUUUUGACAGUAUUGACGGCGAACGGUGGUAUGGUGCUCCACGGGUUGGCUCGAAGGGAAGCCGUCGGUGCAUGGCGGUGUGCUGCUCGGCAGUGUGGUUAGAGGACGGUGGCUCGAGGUUGUGUUCGUCGCUGGGCAGGUGAUCUGGCGUGAUGUUUGGCGGCUGCCUAGGUCUUGGGAGGUGCCAUGAUUGGUGAUCGCGGCGCAGCUUUGGGUUGUGAUGGCGAUGUCAUGAAACUGCAGUGGGUGGUCGUGCCUGAUCUGCUCCGUGUGUGUAAGUCCAUGGGAGGAGGUGAGCAUCUUCAAUUCUAAUGCUCUCUUUUACAAAUUUUCAUUAUGAAGGGUUCAGUACCAGAUUUGCUGUGUUGUCAUUGUUAUCUGGGAGGUGAUGAUGUGUUUUAUUUUGCAAGAGCUCAUGGAAGAACCGGGAGAUCAGUUGUUAGUCACUGUUGUGCUUCUUCCUUUCUGAAUAAUCUUGGGGAGGGCCAAUGACAGAGUUUUACAUCAGUUUUUGGGGACAGGUAGAAAACAGAGAAGGGAGGGGAUAGGAUCGAGCGCCCACAGAUGAAAGCUGAACCCAAACCGUGUUUCCUUUUGUUUCUUAUUAGGCCCUUGUGCUCCUGGAUUUUUUUUUUUUGGGUCUAAUGGCUGUUACUUGGUGCGUGCGAUGGCAGGAAGUACUUCUCAGCAAAAGCAAUGCCUCUGCAUGUGGCAACAAGAUCCAAGUAGAUUGCUUGAUAACCGACUAUAGGAUUCAUGCCUCUUCUAGCCUGAACUUAGUAAGCUGCGGAAAUAAACAAUAGAAAAGGUAAAGAACCACCACAGGGAUAUGUAACAGUGGGAGUUUUGAGUACUAUCUGGAUGUGUUCUCAGUUCUUUUCUGGUAUAUAUGCUUGUGUGCCUCUCCUACGUACAUGGUGUUUUUUUGGAUAGGUUCGUGAGAUACAAGUGGAUGAUAUUUAUGGAUUGCACUUGGCUUGUCAUGUGUUCAUGACUGCCUGUCAGAGCUGGUAUCCUCAGCAAACUGUUUUUGCUUCUUGUAAAGCGGGGUGUGACAAUUUUGUCUAAAGAAGUAACUUAGAUACCACCUUAUGUGCCGGUGUUUGUGUUCUUGCAUGUACCACUCUGUAACUGCUUCUUUGGAUCACUCUCUAGUGUUUGCACUGUGGUGGGUGGUGGUCGAUUCGCAGCACCGGAGCAGUUGUGCAGGGUCGCGGGUGGUCGUCGAUUCGCAGCACCAGAGCAGUUGUGCAGCGUCGCGGGCGGUCGUCGUGCAGCGUUGCUGGUGGUUCUCGGUGUCAGGCUACGUUGACUGUUGACUUGCUUGUUGAUGUGCUCUGCAUCUCCUCCCACCACGAUGGUCGGCAACCAGGCCUUCGCUGCUGGAGCUCUUCAGUAUCGCCCCCUCUACAUAAAUUUGCAGGAAGCCAUGAAGUUUACAGGCACUACUCCCAGCAGGGUUAAGAAAAUCCAUUUUCAAUGGAGUCAAUAUUCUUUAGAAUUUCAUUUUGAUGACUGUCAGGGUCAGGCGCACCAAAGGAUGGACUGUGGUUCCAUGUCCAAAGGGACAAUACUGGACCGGCAGAUGAGCGGGCUCUUGCUGAUGCAACUCCUUCUGCUGCUCAUCAACCUGUCGUUUCAUUCUCUCCUCCUCGGCUAGUCCGUCAAAGGCCACCAGAUGAUUUCCGAACAAGAAGUUUCCUGCAAAGAGAUGGGAGAGGGCAGCGACACCCAGUGAACAUAAUUUUGUUGAUCCUCCAGCAAGUGUGACCAAGAAUGUUGGAUCAAAGCUUUGUUCUGGAAGUUCUAAUCGAUAGUUUCUGUAUUGCAUACAAAGGGUAAUCAAUGCUGGGCUAAAGAUCUCUGCUACAUGUUCCAUGGGUUGAGUAUAACCAAUCAUGUUGCUUAUUUUUAGGAGAAGUUCAGACCUGUGAGAAACCAGAUGUAAAUUACAAAGCUGCUCCUAUUUAUAUAUUUGUAGAUGUUCUUUA